This 253-nucleotide small RNA is filed under the name Arabidopsis thaliana (thale cress). RNAcentral describes it as "ATSL126880". Lineage: Eukaryota; Viridiplantae; Streptophyta; Magnoliopsida; Brassicales; Brassicaceae. The record is from RNAcentral.
AAAAAAAGGAUUUGAGUGUUAAAUUACAUGAGCAUCAGAACCGUCUCUAAGAGCAGAAUCUCCUCUCCAAGUAACUCUUUGGUUCGGAGGCAAUUUUCCAGAACGUUGAGCUUCGAAAUACAAAAGACUGUUUUUGAGAGCUUCUGCAUAAUUUGUAGAGACAGCUUCACGAGCCAUCGACAUUACUAUUAACACAAUGCAAAUACUUGUCCAUAAGCAUUGUGAAGAUCCAUUUUUCAAUUGAGACAUUGUU